UAUGUUUCACUGCCACUUCCUUCUGCAUAGAUGAUAUCAUUUCCCAAAUGAUUUCUGACUGGUCUUCUAGGCUGUCUGAGGAACUUUCACUGCUUGACAUGUGCUGGGUAACCUGCUCGCCACCCUCGAAACUGUAACUGGUAGAAUCUAAGCCACCCUCAGAACUGUCCCCGGUAGAAUCUAAGCCACCCUCGAAACUUUCACUGGUAGAAUCAGACACCACUAUUGCUAGUUUUUUUGGAGGUCCUCCAAUAGGUAUAGAUGAUCGGAUACAUCUAGGCAUUCUCCUCUUCGCUAGCACUACUGUAACAAUGAUGACAAUAAGAACCAAAGAGAUGCUU
RNAcentral lists this long non-coding RNA (341 nucleotides) under Amborella trichopoda. RNAcentral describes it as "long non-coding RNA (ATRI_LNC003158)". The record is from RNAcentral. Lineage: Eukaryota; Viridiplantae; Streptophyta; Magnoliopsida; Amborellales; Amborellaceae.